GACGAACGCUGGCGGCGUGCUUAACACAUGCAAGUCGAACGGAAAGGCCCUGCUUUUGUGGGGUGCUCGAGUGGCGAACGGGUGAGUAACACGUGAGUAACCUGCCCUUGACUUUGGGAUAACUUCAGGAAACUGGGGCUAAUACCGGAUAGGAUCUCCUGCUGCAUGGUGGGGGUUGGAAAGUUUCGGCGGUUGGGGAUGGACUCGCGGCUUAUCAGCUUGUUGGUGGGGUAGUGGCUUACCAAGGCUUUGACGGGUAGCCGGCCUGAGAGGGUGACCGGCAACAUUGGGACUGAGAUACGGCCCAGACUCCAACGGGAGGCAGCAGUGGGGAAUAUUGCACAAUGAGCGGAAGCCUGAUGCAGCAACGCCGCGUGCGGGAUGACGGCCUUCGGGUUGUAAACCGCUUUCGCCUGUGACGAAGCGUGAGUGACGGUAAUGGGUAAAGAAGCACCGGCUAACUACGUG
This 468-nucleotide ribosomal RNA is filed under the name uncultured bacterium. RNAcentral describes it as "partial 16S ribosomal RNA". It matches the Rfam family "Bacterial small subunit ribosomal RNA", at positions 28 to 507 of the family's 1533-position model. The record is from RNAcentral.